GACAUAUACAGGUAAUAAUAUACAGGUAAUAUAGGAUAUAUACAGAUAAAGUAGGAUAUAUACAGGGAAUAUACGUACAGGUAAUAUAGGAUAUAUAAAGGUGAGAUACUGUCUGAUGUCAUGAUGCUUCUGUUAUACAUGAUGUGAUAGAUUCUCACAUCAGUUCAGUUUUGAGCUGUUGUUUUUUAUUUCUAUGUUUAUAUAUCGAUUGAUCUGUGUUGAUCUAAUGCUCUAUAACUGAUCAGUGUCAGUGCUGUUCAAUAAUAACUAAUAUCUGACUGGAAAUACUGACUUUGAGGGAAAACUGUUCAUAAAGGACAUUUUUUUAACCUGAAUUAUUCCAUUUCAGUUUGGUUUUGAGGUCUUUGAGUCGCCUGGUUCUACUGUUCAUCCACCUGUUCCCUGUUCGCUCGUACAUCACACGUCAAAACUAUUUGGAAAGAACUUUUGGAAAAAACAACACCAACAUUUGUACAGAAAACACCAGCAGCAUCUUCAUUCAUUCAUCUGUUCAUUCAUUCAUUUAUUCUCUUCUGCUUCAGUCAUAUGACACAGGAUUCAUUUUUCAGCAGGUGAUUAAAUAUUAGUCAGUUUUACUUAUUCAUGUAUUUUUUUUUUUUUUUUUUAUUUCAGUCGGAGCUUUUUGGAUCCGAUCAAAGGCAGAUCAGUCACUUUCCUCCCCGUUCUAAAAAUGUUCAUAAAAAUGGAAUAAUAUAAAACACUUCUGCAGAUUUUGGUGAUUCCUCUGCAGUUUUAUACCAAUACAGUGAAAAACAGUGUGUUUUUAUCCUCUAACCUGAACUGAAAUUAUCAUUAUGUUCUUUUUUUUUUAUAGAUAAAUCUUGUUAUUUGACAACAGAAGUGUGAUCUUUAUAUACAAUGGCACAAAUGGUCCAUUCAGAGUCUAUUUUUACCAGUGAAGAAGUGAAUAAGUUACAGUUUAACAACACUGUGCAGUAGAAUAAUGACUGCACUGAGUUAUAAAACUGGGAUUAUUCCUGUUUAUUUGAUCUUUAUGGGUGUAAUGUGUAUUUUAAAAGUUACUGUAACUGAGAACAGUCUGAACAGAAAAGACUGAACAGUUUAUUAUUCUGUUGUUUGUACUUGUUUGAUCAUUUUCAGCUGAAUUGAACAACAAACUCCUCAUUUCACACAUUUAAUCUAUAAAUAAAUGUUACACUGCUACGACGA
Long non-coding RNA from Sphaeramia orbicularis (orbiculate cardinalfish), 1191 nucleotides. RefSeq lists it as uncharacterized. Lineage: Eukaryota; Metazoa; Chordata; Actinopteri; Kurtiformes; Apogonidae. The transcript has 2 exons. The record is from RefSeq and is a predicted model, not a curated record.